Molecule: ribosomal RNA, 477 nt
Filed under: uncultured bacterium
Lineage: Bacteria
Description: bacterial SSU rRNA
Rfam family: Bacterial small subunit ribosomal RNA
Source: RNAcentral
AUUGAACGCUGGCGGCAUGCCUUACACAUGCAAGUCGAACGGUAACGGGCCUUCGGGUGCCGACGAGUGGCGAACGGGUGAGUAAUGCAUCGGAACGUACCUUUCAGUGGGGGAUAACGUAGCGAAAGUUACGCUAAUACCGCAUAUUCUGUGAGCAGGAAAGCAGGGGAUCGCAAGACCUUGCGCUGAUUGAGCGGCCGAUGUCAGAUUAGCUAGUUGGUGAGGUAAAGGCUCACCAAGGCGACGAUCUGUAGCGGGUCUGAGAGGAUGAUCCGCCACACUGGAACUGAGACACGGUCCAGACUCCUACGGGAGGCAGCAGUGGGGAAUUUUGGACAAUGGGGGCAACCCUGAUCCAGCCAUGCCGCGUGAGUGAAGAAGGCCUUCGGGUUGGUAAGGACUCUUUCGGUCCGGGGUAAGGAAAUACGGCAUGGGCGAAUAACCCUCGUGUGGAGUGACGGUACCGGAACGAAGAAG